GCUUGUCUCAAAGAUUAAGCCAUGCAUGUUCAAGUAUAGCAAGUGUACAGUGAAACUGCGAAUGGCUCAUUAAAUCAGUUAUAGUUUAUUUGAUAGUCCUUUACUACUUGGAUAACCGUAGUAAUUCUAGAGCUAAUACAUGCAUCAACUCCCAACUGCUUGUCGGACGGGAUGUAUUUAUUAGAUUGAAACCAAUGCGGGGCAACCCGGUAUUGUGGUGAAUCAUAAUAACUUUGCGGAUCGCAGACCUCGCGUCGGCGACGAAUCAUUCAAGUUUCUGCCCUAUCAGCUUUGGAUGGUAGGGUAUUGGCCUACCAUGGCUCUAACGGGUAACGGAGAAUUGGGGUUCGAUUCCGGAGAGGGAGCCUGAGAGAUGGCUACCACAUCCAAGGAAGGCAGCAGG
This 403-nucleotide ribosomal RNA is filed under the name Monodopsis subterranea. Its description in RNAcentral is "Monodus subterranea partial small subunit ribosomal RNA". It matches the Rfam family "Eukaryotic small subunit ribosomal RNA", at positions 30 to 432 of the family's 1831-position model. The record is from RNAcentral. Lineage: Eukaryota; Eustigmatophyceae; Eustigmatales; Monodopsidaceae.